CAUAAACAAUCACUUUGUUACCUUAGUUUCAUAGUUUGAAGAAAAAGUAAAUCAUAAUUAGUUGAGAAUUAUUUUGGGUAAUAACCAAAUAAAAGACCUUGACUACAAUGAAACCAUUGCGCAUGUCACAAAGAUGAGAAUUGUAAUCUUAGCCGUUGCCGUGGCGAAACAAUGGGAGUUGCAUCAGAUAUACUUACAUAAUGCAUUCUUACAUGACAAUCUUAAAAAGAAAAACGUUUGAUUAUUUUCUUCCCAAGUUGGAGAUCCACGAUCAUUCUUUGAUCUCACUCCAAUUUAGUAUAUUCGAUCAACUGUACAUAUAUUACAAAUUGAUUGUAAUAAGUAUGAUUUUAAUUUAUUAUUUUAGAAAAUAACUCACAACUUUAAUGUAUAUAUAUUUGACUGACAAUCAAUACCAAGACAGGGAUUCCAUCUCCAAUUAGUUUCUUAAGUUAUAACCAUAUUUCUACUCGAGCACAUUUUUAACAUAAAGAUAAAUUCAUACAUCAUAGCAAUAUAAUUUAUAUGUAUGUAAUUUGUUUUACUUUGUCAAGUACUUUAUAAUCAGUUACUUUAACAAUCAUAGUAUUGAAGCUAGAAAUUCUUUUACUCUUAUAGUUUAAGAAUUUUCUUAAAAAAUAAUUAAUUAAUAUAAAGCAAAAUAUAUCUUCUGCAUUAGCAAUAUUAAUUAGGCAGCAAAAAUCCUCAAAUCAUUUUAAUUUCUUAUGGAAACUGAGAACCAAACCUAGAAAAUGAAUGUUCAACAAACUCUUAAAUAAUAUUUUUAUAGGGAAAGUAUGCAUUUUUUAACCAAGCUUGGAUGAGGAAAAUAUGUUUAAAUAUGGAAAAUUAUCUGCAACUUACUUGUUUGUGGAGGAGAAAUUAAAUAUCCAUGCAUUUACUUGAAGCAAUAAUAUAUUGGAACAAAGUUAUGGUGAAAUGUCUUACCUUGUUUUGAAGGUUGAGUGGGAUACUUGAUAUAUGGAACUCCAACACCGAUGUCAGUUUAACUUGAAGAAAGAAAAGUAUAUGCAAUGCUUU
Molecule: long non-coding RNA, 1041 nt
Filed under: Cicer arietinum (chickpea)
Lineage: Eukaryota; Viridiplantae; Streptophyta; Magnoliopsida; Fabales; Fabaceae
Description: long non-coding RNA (CARI_LNC000793)
Source: RNAcentral